GGAGAGGGUCAUAGCUCAGUGGUAGAGAGCACGCACUUCGAACGCAGGUGGUCCCAGGUUCAAGUCCCUGGCAUCUCCA
This is a non-coding RNA of Podarcis lilfordi (Lilford's wall lizard), 79 nucleotides long. The record is from the annotation of a GenBank genome assembly. NCBI's taxonomy places the organism in Eukaryota, Metazoa, Chordata, Lepidosauria, Squamata, Lacertidae.